AAUCGUACACUCUAAUAUGGUGUGUAUGCAUGAUCUCUGUGAAGACCUAGAAUUUUAAUUCAUUACAUAUGUAUUUUUUAUCUCUCUCAAAUAGUAACGUAAUUUCGGCCCAAUUUUAUUAAAUUAGAUUAAUAUUGUUUUUUUUUUCAGCCCAAACAAAAGAGAGAGAUCUAGAAGCCACUCUCUAGCUAAACCUACAAACCAACAAAGAGAAUUAUUUCUUCUUAUCAUUUCCUUUCCUUAUUCAUUUUGUAAUUACCUUUUACUGUAUGCCUAGUGACAUUAUAGUAUACUGAUUAUUGAAGACUAUCUAACUAGGAGGUGGACGGUUUUUAGGAAACGGUGAAAAUCUUAAGCAGGAGGUGGGGGGAGCUAGGGCUGUGGAGUCUAUGGCUGAAGUUGGCAGUUAUGUGAACUUUUGGAUUCUGAAUGGGGCAGCUAACUAAUCUCAGCUAUAAAGCAGGUGGGCAGCUAAAUAAUGUUUGUAUUCUUUAAUUUGAUCUGAAGAAAAACCCUUGAGUACCUAUUUCAUGUUCCUAUCGUCCUUUUUGAAGCUCUGAAAAGGCAAAAGAAUUUAAGUUGCAUAGUGUUCAUAAUUUUCUUGGUGCAGAUUUCAAUACUGUCAGUUUCGUAGUCCCUUCUUUCUUCCUUGUUUUCUUACAUUAAAAAGCUUGAUUGAAGAGGGGGCAUAAGCUUUAAAUCGAGUAUUUACACAAAUUUUCAUUUAUAUUUGAUGGUUUAAAACCAUGUUCAAAAAGGUCCCUUUGAACCUGUGUAAAACUCUGGUGCAGAUUUUUCUGCAAAUACUUUCUAUUUCAACUCGUGAUUUCUCUCCCUCCAUAUCUCAAAUUUUAACAAAUUUUAUAUCGUUGGAAAGAUUAUUCUUCAAGAUUUCCAAUUAUAAUUUCAUACAUUUUCGUUGAGUUUUGAUUUGUGAAAAAAGUUGUUCAUAGAUAUUCUGUCUGCAAAACUGGAAAACAUAUAAGUUUUUCUGCAUUGUUUUUGGUAGGGACGAUGAACAGUGAUUUUAUAUUAUAGUAUUCUAUAUUUGCUUUAUUUGUCAUUUCUUUUUACUCCGACAUUCAGCUAUAGACUUGAGGGUGCCUAAGAGCACGAGAAAAACUAAGGAAAGAAAUAUUAGCUUGCUUGGAGUCGAGGUAGGGGAUUUAGGGAUUAAUAUUUGAAUAGAACUCUAUAAGUUAAUCAUUCACUUAUAUCUAAUCAUGUACUUGUAUUGAUAAGGUUUAUAUGUUUCUGUUUCUGUUUCUAUUAUUGAUUGAGUGAUAUGCUUACACAGAUACUGCGAGUCUUGAAUUUGAUAUCCUUGAUCAAUAUCGUUGUGAUGAUUUAUGGUUAAUAAACUAUUGGCAUAUGAUUGGUAUAUGAUGCUUCUAAAUAUGAAC
Molecule: long non-coding RNA, 1403 nt
Filed under: Malus domestica (apple)
Lineage: Eukaryota; Viridiplantae; Streptophyta; Magnoliopsida; Rosales; Rosaceae
Description: long non-coding RNA (MDOM_LNC011092)
Source: RNAcentral